Molecule: long non-coding RNA, 1715 nt
Organism: Vicia villosa (hairy vetch)
Lineage: Eukaryota; Viridiplantae; Streptophyta; Magnoliopsida; Fabales; Fabaceae
Exons: 2
Source: RefSeq, a predicted model, not a curated record
UUAAUGAUAAUUAACCUAACUUUUACCCAUUAACCACACUAAUUGCCAUUAACAUUAGAUUAAAAUCAAAGUUAAAACAAAAGGGGAUUAGGGCUAAUACAUGUGAUGCAACGCUUGAACUCCGAAGCUCUCCUCUCUCUUACGGCCGCGGCGACGCUCCUUCUUCUCCGAUCAGCUCUUCGGCCGCCGUGAAUCUAGAAGGCAAAACACCAACAUCUCGUCUCUCGGACUCCAUCGUCUCUCGUCUCAGUCUCUCUCAAAUCUCUUUCGUCUCCGAUGAAAUCCUCCCGGAGAGACUCUCUCUUAUGACGGCGCGGUGGCAAGAUUGCUGUUGCGAUGAAGAUGAAGAGUGCCUCUGUUGCACCUCAAAUCUUGAACGAUGAUGACGUUGCGUUGGGGAAGUCACAGAGUAAGGCGAUCUGAGGAUGUUGUUGAUCGAAGCAGCUCUGAGUCGGGGAUGAUGGAGCGAAGAUGGCGAUUGUUGAAGUUGCUAUAUCCUGGCAUCGUAUCAAUCUCUUGCUCCUUCGAUUACACUCCUCAUCACUUCCGUUAUCUUUUUUUCCUUCCGUUGAAUUUUUGUCACGUUCCUUGUUUUUGAUUUCUGAACGAUUUGUUGUUGUUGUUGUUUGAUACAGAUGAAGAUGUGAUAUCGUUGCAUUUGAAUAACAAAUCCUGAUGAUGAUACUGAAGGUGAUAGUUGCUGGAGUCUUGUUGAUGACGAUGAUGAUUGAUGAAGGUGAAGCAAAGACGAAGAUUUGAUUCUGUUUUCUUGGAGCCUUUCUGAGAAUUGGAGAACGAUGAUAGAUAAAGCUGUUGAUGAUAAAAAGGUGAUUGGAGAUGGUGGAGAUUGUUGUUCUCUGCAGAUUUGUCUAAUGGAGAUUAUUGAUGAUGAAGAGUUUGAAUAUUGGAGAGUGGAGAAGAAUGAUGAAGAUGAAAGGUGACUGAAGAUUCUGGAAGCAAAGUUGCGGUGGGAUUAUGGUGAGGAAGUGAAAUGAUGAAGGAGAGUCAAGAGAGUAGGAUGCUGAUGAUAUAUAGGGGUGAAAGGUUCUUUGAAUGUAUGCACAUGACUUCAAGGUGAUGAUAUGAGAUGAUGAUAUUGUUUUGAUGAGUGAUUUAUGACAUGGACUGAAUGUAUGUGGACUGAAGACUCAUGUGAAUGAUUGGCUUUAAAACUAGCAGCAUAAUUGGUUCUGUUUUGAAUUAAUAGUGCUGUAUGGAUGUAGAUAUAUGGGGCUGUUUUAUACAUUGCAGAAUUUCCCUCUUCUCUUCUUUGUGGCUGAAUGUGUGCAGGUUAUGGCUAUGUUAUCAAAUGAGGUAAUGCUGGCUGGCAUGUUAGUAAUGUGUAAUUUCAAUGCAGCAGGUUGCAAUGUUAAUAAAUGGUGAAGUUAUGUUUUGAUUUAGUUUGGUUUUUUCUGAAUGAAUUGGUUUAUGUGUGCAGGGCCGUUUGGCUUGAAUUGAGGCAUGGAUCAAAUGAAGGCGGUAUGGAGCACGGUCAUGAGCUAAAAAUGCUUUGAAGAUUAGCUUAGGAAUAGAAUUCUAGGAAUGAGAUUCCAUGUAUUUUCUGUGUAAAAUAACGGACUUUGUAAUGGGUAUUUGGUUCCUUUGAAAUCGGUGAUGAUUUGAGUUAUGGAAAGUUGAAUGUGAUUUGAUGAAUGGUGAAACUUUAAAUGAAUUUUGUAAUGGUUUUUUGUAAUUGAUUGGAUUUAUUUUGUUCU